AACGAACGCUGGCGGCGUGCCUAACACAUGCAAGUCGAACGAAACCUCCGGGUCUUGUGGCGCACGGGUGCGUAAGGCGUGGGAACCUGCACUUAGGUUCGGAAUAACUCCCCGACAGGGGUGCUAAUGCCGGAUAAUGUCUUAGGACCAAAGAUUUAUUGCCUUUGGUUGGGCCCGCGUUGGAUUCGCUCGUUGGUAGGGUAAAAGCCUACCAAGGCGUCGAUCCAUAGCUGGUCUGAGAGGAGGGUCAGCCACACUGGGACUCAGACACGGCCCAGACUCCUACGCGAGGGAGCAGAGGGGGAUAUAGGACAAUGGGCGAAAGGCUGAUCCAGCAAUGCCGGGUAAGUGAUGAAGGCCUUAGGGUUGUAAAGCUCUUUUACCCGGGAUGAUAAUGACGGUACCGGGAGAAUAAGCUCCGGCUAACUACGUG
RNAcentral lists this ribosomal RNA (433 nucleotides) under uncultured bacterium. RNAcentral's name for it is "partial 16S ribosomal RNA". It matches the Rfam family "Bacterial small subunit ribosomal RNA", at positions 29 to 507 of the family's 1533-position model. The record is from RNAcentral.